This 419-nucleotide ribosomal RNA is filed under the name uncultured bacterium. RNAcentral describes it as "bacterial SSU rRNA". It matches the Rfam family "Bacterial small subunit ribosomal RNA", at positions 355 to 787 of the family's 1533-position model. The record is from RNAcentral.
UGGGGAAUAUUGCACAAUGGGGGAAACCCUGAUGCAGCAACGCCGCGUGAAGGAAGACGGUUUUCGGAUUGUAAACUUCUAUCAAUAGGGACGAAGAAAGUGACUGUACCUAAAUAAGAAGCCCCGGCUAACUACGUGCCAGCAGCCGCGGUAAUACGUAGGGGGCAAGCGUUAUCCGGAAUUACUGGGUGUAAAGGGUGAGUAGGCGGCAUGGCAAGUAAGAUGUGAAAGCCCGAGGCUUAACCUCGGGAUUGCAUUUUAAACUGCUAAGCUAGAGUACAGGAGAGGAAAGCGGAAUUCCUAGUGUAGCGGUGAAAUGCGUAGAUAUUAGGAAGAACACCAGUGGCGAAGGCGGCUUUCUGGACUGGAAACUGACGCUGAGGCACGAAAGCGUGGGGAGCGAACAGGAUUAGAUACCC